This is a long non-coding RNA of Papaver somniferum (opium poppy), 781 nucleotides long. RefSeq lists it as uncharacterized. The transcript is spliced from 4 exons. The record is from RefSeq and is a predicted model, not a curated record. NCBI's taxonomy places the organism in Eukaryota, Viridiplantae, Streptophyta, Magnoliopsida, Ranunculales, Papaveraceae.
AUUUGGGUUAAACCCCCAAAUUGCCUAUACUCUCUCACACUCCCUCUAAAUUCCUAGAGAUUUAAAUACAUUUAAAUGGAGAUUUAAAUUGAGUAUCUCCAUUUUCUUUCUUCUUUGCUACGAUUUUUGGCGAAAAGAAUGAAUAACCAAAACCUAUUGUAACACUGUCUUUGAGGAUGCCACACCCGAAUUGGUUAGGCACUUCUUCUAGGAUGAAGAUUUCCGGUCCAAUCAGGAUGCAAUAUUAUGCUCAUACAUUCUAAGACGUAAGAGGAAUGUCCUACCGAUGGAACUAUUGUAGUCCACUGGACACAUAAGAUUUGGUGAUUAUCUUAUGCUCUUCAUGCUUUAUGGACUAGGCUUGACUCAUCUUCUUAGUAGUUCAUUUUCGGGAUAGUAUUCUUCUAAAUUCUAUAUUUUGGUAAAGUUUCUCUUCCUCCACAACGACAGAGAAUACAUAAUAGACGAGUAUGGAAAGCAGGAAGACCAUAUUGGUGUCGCUAAGGCACAAGCAUUAGCUGCUUUAUAAAUCAUAUGGAAUUCAACAUAGAGAAUAGUCAAACUCAUGGUUAUGCCUACUGCACUCAUGAAGAACAACGGAAGCUGCGAUUGAACCUCGACUUAGAACCAGGAAUGUGCUGUAAUUUUGCGUAUGACUGUUCAACAAAUUGAUUUGGAACAAGGUUUCUUCAUGUUUAAACGAAAAAAGUAGAGAGAAGACUCUUUGGACUACUUUAGUGAUUAGUGUGAAACUUUUGUAUGUUCCCCUUUCCGUUAAGAA